Long non-coding RNA from Sinocyclocheilus grahami, 1656 nucleotides. RefSeq lists it as uncharacterized. The transcript is spliced from 4 exons. The record is from RefSeq and is a predicted model, not a curated record. Lineage: Eukaryota; Metazoa; Chordata; Actinopteri; Cypriniformes; Cyprinidae.
CCAUACAGUUAAAGUAACAAGGUAAGAUCCAAGAGGAUCCUAGUUAAGUUACCUAUCGACUGUUUCCAACUUAUAACAGACACAGUGGAUCACAGGAUAAGUGGAAUGUAACACCAACUCCAAGGUAAAUGUUUUUACUUGUUACUGUGUGCCAUUACGUGAAUAACAGUAUAUGUCAUAAAUACACGCACCAUAAUAUGUUUGCUGUAUCUCUGUGUUUAUACAUACGUGUGUGUGUGUGUGUAUUAUAUGCAUGUAUGUAUGUGGAAACUCAUGACUCAAUGAAUUGUCAAAAUUAUUUUACUUGUGAAACUGUAUUAAAGUGUACUAUCGGACAUCCAUUAACACAAAUAAUGGACUUUUAAAAACUUAAACUUAAAAACGCUUAAUACUGACAAGCCAUGCCACACUGUCUGCCUUCAAACCAAAAGUGCCACACAGAAUAAUAGAUUUAAGUGCAAACUCCAUCAAGUCUGACUUCCAGAAGAGCAGAAACAACUUCUCCAAACAGGAGUAGGAAAACAUGGGUGUGUGGCUUACAACAAAAAUACUUGUGAGAUUACAUGUAAACAGUGCAAUCAAUCUUUUGUGUAUAACACUGCAUGUGGGCAUAUUUUGUUUUUUUCUGACACUCCUGUCACUCCACUUCUCAGGUCGUCAUACAUCUCCCAGACACAUGGAGACCUCCUGCAGUAGGCCACAUAAUGUCCAAGAGCAUCCUGGAUUAAGCCUCCUUUGAAAGCAAUGACUGCCCUUAAAGUAAAUCUCUCUCCUUGGAGCAUCAGAUUGGAGGGAAAUUCACUCAAAGGAAAUUCUAUGGAGUUGCUUCCCAGAGGGACACUGUGAUGGACUUUGGAUUGGCCUGAGACAGGGGGAGUCCGGAAGGUUAAGGCCUUCUUCCACUGCCGUCUGAAGAUAAGCGAUGCCAGAAGCCUCCAAUACAGCAACAGAAGUACAAACAAAUGUGGAGAUGUGGCACUGCGCGUCGAUUUGGAGAGCACCAGACUUCAGUUGGACAGGUUUGAAUAUUCCACUCAGCAGCUCUGCCCUCUGUAUGUAGGCCUGUGCAUUCAGACCCUUUGUGGUGAUGGUUUUCACUAGCUGGAGGAGGUUGUUGGAGUCCUCACCACAAACAAUAUUUGCAAAGGUGACACUAUCACAGAAAGCACAACAUAAGCAUUGACAAAAAGCAUCAAAUGCACAUGUGUUCAGCACAGAUAUUCUUGAUUUCCUGAGUUUAACAGGCUGUUGAUUAUUUCCAUUUUUCAACAGUUCCACUUUCAGUCUUUUCCCCCUCACAGAUGGAUCUGCAUGGAGCCAUUCAGGACAAGGAGAGAGGUAUGAAUUCCUCUUUCUCUUUUUGGGUGGAAGAGCUAGGCCUCUCCAGUUUUCAACAGGGUCUUCAUCUGUUGGAUGGAUGAUUGUGACAAUGUCAGACUUCCCAGAACAGGAAGCAUCCAUUUCUGGUUUUACACCUUCACUGCAAGUUAUGAACAAAUGCGCAUGUUGCCUUCAAUGAAGGACAGAUGUCGAGCAAUGAAUCGAUCCACCCGAAUUUUCAUGCUUUCAUGCUUGAAAAGGCCACGUUUAAUGUUUUUGAAUUCUGCUUCAGCAUUGGCUGAACUUGCAAUGAUUUCGGAAGUGAGGAAGUGAGGG